CACAGUUUCUUUUACUUGGUUCAUCAAAAACAGGAAGCCAAAGGUAUGAAUACUCUUCCUGUGAAUCAAGAGAGAAACCUUCCUCAUCUGCACUCAUGAACCCACAGCCUCGGGCUGCUAGAUUUGCUCCUGGAAGAAUUGAAGGUUGCAAGCGGGACGCUGGGAGCCCCCAGAAAAGAAUGAAGCCCACUGACACCUUGACUUCUGUCUGCUGAGACCUGUACCAGAUUUCUGACUUGGGAAACUGUCUGCCUUUUGACACUACGUGAUUUUCGCUCUUCACUGGAUGAGGCUGAUUGAUAGAUCUUUGGGACCCAAUCCUAUCCAUUCAUCCGCCGGCAAAGUGGGCUUCUUACCAGAGAUACCAACACACUUCCCCUUAUUUCUACUCACCUUCUUGGAAUUCUCUGAUGGAUUUCUGAUGUUGGCGGCCUGGAAGAAAUGAUCUGUGUGUAGAUUCAGCAGCUACCAUUUAUCAAGGAAACAAUGAAUUUUGUUAUCAAUGAAACAAGAAUUUUACCAGGCAAUAAAAGACUUCUUGGAGUAAGACACUGUUUCUACGCUCCACUAUUCCAUUUGUACAG
Long non-coding RNA from Lutra lutra (Eurasian river otter), 584 nucleotides. RefSeq lists it as uncharacterized. NCBI's taxonomy places the organism in Eukaryota, Metazoa, Chordata, Mammalia, Carnivora, Mustelidae. The record is from RefSeq and is a predicted model, not a curated record. The transcript is spliced from 3 exons.